UGCCUCUUUUUCUCUCUCUCUCUUGCAGUUGUUGCAAUCUCAGGAUGUGAAAGAAGACGCUGUCCUUUGCUGUUCCAUGGAGCUGCAAAGCACAGGCCGGCUGCUGGAGGACCAGCUGCCUGAGAUGAUGACAGAGCUGCUGGCAAUAGCACGUGACAAGAUGCUAUGCCCCUCGGAGUCCAUGCUGACACGGUCCCUCCUCCUCGAGGUCAUUGAGCUGCAUGCCAACAACUGGAACCCCCUGACGCCCAUCAUCACACAGUACUACAACAAGACAAUCCAGAAACUGACAGCCUGAGAACGUGGGGCGGUGGGGAUAGAAGGGAGCAGGAAGAAGACAUGCACCUUAAAAGGAAACAGGAAGGAACUGUGCUACAAAUUGAUCAGCUACUGGAGAGAGAAGCAAGAACCUUUAUGAGAAAAUACCUAAGAAGACAAACCCCAGCAUGCUUAAGAAUAUGUUCAUGAGGUUGGGGGGCAAGGGAGCAUGUUUCUUUUCAGCUGCGUUGCGGAGCACCACCCUUCUUUCCUGCUGAGUUUUUGUUUCAGGUUUCUUUUAUUAAAUCAUUGCUCAUGCAGCUGCGCAUCCCGCCGUGUUAUUGUUUGGCUUUAGAAAGAACACGGAGAAUUUGAAAAGCAAGUGGAAGUGCAGGCUAGCAUUGUUUUCACGCCAUUCUCUUGGCUUGCACCAGCCAACUGGCAGGAGACAACACACAGCAGAUGUCUUGGGAGGACAAAGAAAGACACGUUCCACACCAGACGCCGGUAACUGACAGCUUUUGUCAAAGCGAAGCUUUUAUUAUUUUUUUCCCCUCCUCUUGUCUUCAACUUUUUAUUCUCCCCCCGAUCCUCCCUCCGCAAAAUCCCCACGAAACACCUGAUUCUAGGUUAGGAUUUCACACAAGAUGAUUUAUUUAUUUGCACUGGGUUUUCAUUUUUCUUUGUUGUUGUUUUAUUAGGUUUUUUUAAACGGACAUUUGCUAUCAACUUUGAAACAUGAAAAUAACAUUAUAAUGUGAGCGCUUGAAUGGUUGGCACGAGGGUGUUAAAUUGGAAGAAGAAGUUAAAAAAAAAUCCAAAAGCCACUUUAGAAGUAUCAUAGCCACAGUCUUCUUGCCAGUAACCUAUCAAGGUAAUUGAAAAAAUGUACACUCUGCGCUGGUAACUCUAAGAAACACAGGCAUUCUGCAGCUGUUUGCUACUAACGACGCAGUAUUCCUCAUCCACUAAACUAUAAUCCAUUUAUUUUUUGUAACUUACUUUGUUUGUUUGUUUAAAGAGUGCUUUAUUGUAAUUACUGUCACAGUUGUAAUUAUACAUUUAAACCAGGUCCCUUAUGCUUGGUCCUAAUAAUAGACAAGGUGAGGGAAAAAUUAAGACUUGAAGUUCUUCUUUGGAAACCAGUAAACAGAAGGUGACAAGUAUAUGGCAUGGGAAAGGAAAAAAGAAAAGCCGAAAAUAUAGCUUUCAGGUUUGGCUUCUAAUUAGCUAAACUUUCCUAACCAGUGUGUCUCAGUUUGCAUUGCAUAGACGUGGAACUCAGAAGGUGGCUGUCCCUGUCUUUUUUAUUUGUCAGCAUAGUCUGUUUAGUCAGUGUAACUAAUACAGCCUCUGAUAUAGAGGAGGGUCAGGGUGGGUUGUUUCGUUCCACUAAAGAGGAGAGCAAUGUGAAUGGCUAGAGAUGGAGUUAGAGGUAGUACAAGAAGGAAGCCACAAUACACCUCACUGGCCUUACCCGCGUAACCCACUGGUGCAUAUGUGUUACAAUUCCCAUUCUGUGUCCAAUUCACAGAGGAUAUGAGUCUGUUACAGCCCCAGCUAGGGACUUUCAGCUGAAACGGUAACAGCUCAUGCUUUUAGCUUUGGCCGUCUCUGGUUCAAUCCCUGGUGGGUCAGACAAGAUGGCAGCUGUCACGCAGUGGAAGCUUGUCUGGAAUUCAAACUGCUGUGGGCCUCAGACACUGAGGAUAAGCUUCCUUGGAUCCGAGGAAGGACAUAACUCACUGGUGAGCAUGUGUUACAGGUCCUCAGCCUCCAUGCCCAGUGCACAGAGAGAUGAAUCUGUUACAGCCCCAGCUAGAGAGAUUUGAUUCUUUAGUGCAGGCUGUCGCAGCUCAUGCUUUUUAAGCUCUGGAGGUGCCCAGUUCAAUCUCCAGUGUGUUGGCAAAGGCAGCAGCCAUCACAUCUACUUGUCCCAUCAUAUUUAACACUAGUGCAGUUUCACUGGUGUUAGAAACAUUGGGAGCCCUUUAUAGAGAGGCUGCUGACAGCAAUUUAAGUACUGUGUUCUCUAGACCUGAUCUAAGCAGGAUUAGGUGAUAUACGUGCUUAAAAACCCUAGUGCUCCGUCUACUCUAGGGUUCUACACAAUGGUCACAUCGGUGAAGCUGAAGUGGUGUUGGCAAUGCUGAGAAGUGUUUGCAGAAUGCCCCUAGGGCAGAUCAAUCUAGCAUGAGAGGUGAAGCCAGUGACUUGACUUGAUUAGGGAAGAAGGUGAGCUGUUAAGUGUGUGACGUGCUUUUAGACUGAGAUGGAGCCGUGUCAGUCGUAAAACAAGUAUUAGUUUUGAAGCACAUGCAAGUUUGGCAGAGAAACCGCAGCUUCCAAGCAUAUGGUACAUUUAAUUUUUAAAGUAUCUGUUCUGUAGCAAGUCUGUAAUUCUUGAGAAGAGCAAAGCUGCCCACCAAACCCUUCCUUAAGGGCCAGUCCCAUAGGACACAUGGCUUUAAUUCCCAAUGAUGCCAGGAGGAUGUGUGGGUGCUCAUCAACUUGCAGGGCUAGGGCUUUAAUGUAUAAUAUAAGGCAAGAAAUUUAUGAGAGAUCCACGUAAACACAAUAUUUACCAUUUGGGGUGUGAGUAACAUUAACCAGAUUUAUGGAUCCUGUUGACUAACUUCAGUUUCUUUUUUGGAAAAGGAGAUCUGUUCCAGCCCCGUAUUUGAAACAUGCUUUGAAGUUACUUAUUUCAGUAACUUUGUAUUGAUAAAGAGGGAUGGGCAGGCCAUUACUUCACUUCCCUUACAGUGACCAGGAAAUGAUGUCAUGGCUUAGCGGUUGCUUCUUUAUUGAUGCUUUUAUUUACUACAUCACUUCUAGUGCUUACUUGAUGAAGUCUAACAGAAUUAGGGGGUGGAAAUUUCCCUUUAUUUGUUCAGCACUUAUUAUAAUGGAAGAUUAGAGAAGGAAGAGACAGUACAAACCCUCCCUCCAGGCACCUGUGAUCUGAGCAUAGCUGCCAAUGUUGGGUGAAUCUAACCAUUAAGAGAUUAAUAUCUGCGUUAUUUCAUUAUUGCAACAGGUCUCAGAAACUCAUUUGGAAAAUCUGUUUUGGUGUUUGUAACACUCACAAGCUGUUUUCCAAAAGUCAGUUUGUGAUUAGGGCGCUACUGAUCAGUGCUUAUAAUGUGGGAGGAUGAUAUAUUCCAAUUUUUUCUUCGCUUUUCUCCUGUUGUUCAGUUUUCUUCCCUUUCCCCUGAUAGUAAGAAGUAUGGAUUCGGCAACCCACCUCUGGCGCCAUGAAACUGGAGUGUAGCUCCUGAUUAAACAUGAGACCCAAACACAAACCCCCAGAUACAAAUACCCACCCACCCUGAGGCAAUACAGAUCUGGAUCUGAACUCUACAACUUAGACCAGUAGAUUGAAUUUCUGCCUGCUUGUUGACAAGAACAAAGAUUCAAUCCAGAUCUUUUUUGGAUGUUCAGUAUAAGAGAGAACCAGAUUUCUCCGUUACUUGGGGGAAAAUUAUUUGCAGGAAGCCAAGUUUGAGGGCAAAAAUUUCCAACAGAGAAAAUACCACAAGAGGAGAGAAGAUUUGUUUCAUGGUUCACAGUUAUUCAAAACUUCUCUGCUUGGGUCUUUUCUAAGGUGCAUACAAAGCAAGAGAAAACAGCAGGAAACAGAAUCCUCAACAGUACCAUGUCCAAGAAAGAAAGAGAAGACCUUGAUUCAGCUGUAAAAACUUGCCUAAUGCACUGGACUUCUCUGGAAAGACUGAUUUCUAAGUUCCAGAAACAGUCUAGGGAUGACAAGGGGGUUAGCUCUCUGAAGACUGAUACUUGCAGUACCUCAGCAUUAGGUUGUCUGUGAGAAGACUGUGUCACAGUAAGGGCAGCAAUAUUUUAUAGUGAAUAUCCUUGAGAGAUUGGACUUUAUAGAACAACAAAGCCCAACAGUGUUAUAAGGUUCAGGGCUGUAGCCUUUGAAUCUAAACCCUCCUUAAGGUGUUUCCCCUCUGAUGCCUUGCCCCUUGCGUAUGAAAGAAGCAGCUGCUUAAGAUUGGAUUCAGUGCAGCCUCACAGAAUUGUCAUGAAAAUUUACCAACCUGAACUCAAACUCUACUCACCCCCGUUUCAAGACGAUGCUAAAGAUGGAAAACAAAAAUGUUCAAGGUUGAUGUAAUGUGAUAUGUGGGUUAUCCACAGUUGAUUAUUUGAUUGCUUUAGAAUGUUCACAGCCAAUCAGAAUAAUUAUUUAAGCAGCUUAAUAUAGCCACAUGCUGCUGCUACUUUUUCAGACUUGAACAAAGAAUUUAAAAGUGAUUUUUUGUUUUAUUUUGGGGUUUUGUUUUUUUUUAAAGAAAAACAACCCCUAAAAUACAGGCCAUAUAGGGAAACGUGUGAAUGAUCGAAUUGAGCCCUCCAAUAACCACGAUCUCCAGCUCCUGUUCCCAGCCCUCCCAGUAUACAUGCCAGCUUCUGUGGCUCCUAUCUUUCACCCAGUAUAGUCUGCAACAUUUCAAAAUUGACCUCUGAAUGUAGCAAAGGAAGGGAA
Molecule: non-coding RNA, 4771 nt
Organism: Chelonoidis abingdonii (Abingdon island giant tortoise)
Lineage: Eukaryota; Metazoa; Chordata; Testudines; Testudinidae
Source: RefSeq, a predicted model, not a curated record